Molecule: long non-coding RNA, 594 nt
Filed under: Malus domestica (apple)
Lineage: Eukaryota; Viridiplantae; Streptophyta; Magnoliopsida; Rosales; Rosaceae
Description: long non-coding RNA (MDOM_LNC001895)
Source: RNAcentral
UAGGUAAGCAAUCAGGAAGGGGUUCCAGGUAGUUGGUUCCAGAUUGGAAGAUUGAUACCAAGUGCUGGCUGAUUGCUCUCUUUCUCCUUGUCCCAAAACAACGACAAGGAGAAGGACAGGGAGAAAGCAUGAUAUGAGAUACUCUUACUUUCAACCUUCAUGAUAUGAAAUACUUUUGCUUUGGAUAAGUUGUUGAUGCGUAAAAUAAGUUAACACACAAAUUAAACCCUCUUUUUGACAAUUGUAGUAAAGUAUGUAAGUAGGGUAUCGUUCUAGGCCGGGGAUUAUGAGGGAUUGCUAAUCUAUUCUAAAUUAAUUUAAAAAUAUUAAACAAGACUCAAGGACACAAAACUAGGCUAAAAACUCUAAUAACUCGAAACACACUUAGAAUGACUCAAAAUAAUGAAAACAAUCAAUUGAGACACUAGGAACUGAAAUGGACGGAAAUUGAAUUAAAAGACUAACAACAAUGAAAACUAACUAAAUAAUAUAAUUUAAUAAUGGGGGGGGUUUGGUUUUGAUGAGAAGUAAAUUAAACUUAAAUAAAUUACAGAAUUGACAAAAGCAUGAAAUUAAGGUGAAAGGAUAGGUGAC